GGGGGAGUAGCUCAACUGGUAGAGCGGCGGUCUCCAAAACCGACGACUGUGGGUUCGAGUCCUGCCUCCCCCGCCA
Molecule: transfer RNA, 76 nt
Filed under: Bacillota bacterium
Lineage: Bacteria; Bacillati; Bacillota
Also listed under: 2 other names
Description: Firmicutes bacterium (sediment metagenome) tRNA-Trp
Rfam family: tRNA
About the family: Transfer RNA (tRNA) molecules are approximately 80 nucleotides in length. Their secondary structure includes four short double-helical elements and three loops (D, anti-codon, and T loops).
Source: RNAcentral